CUUCGAGGUAUUGAAAUAAGGCUUUAAAUGGGUGCUAAGAGAAUGGUUUAACGAAGAUAGACUUUUUUCUUUUUUUAAUUAAAAGUUGAUUUAAAAAUGAAAAGGUUUUUAUAAAAAUUUGGGACAAGAAGACCCUAUGAAUUUUAAUAUAAGAUUUUUUGAUUAAAAUUUAUUAAAAAAUUUUAAAUUUUUCUUUUAUUUGAUUGGGGUGAUUUUUAAAGAUUGGGAAUCUUUAAAGUUUUGUUAAGUAGAUCCAUUAAUAAUGAUUUGUUGAAUAAAAUACUCUAGGGAUAACAGCGUUAUUGUUUUGGAUAGUUCAUAUAGAUAAAACAGUUUGCGACCUCGAUGUUGGAUUAAGAUACCCUUGAAGUGUAGAAGCUUCAAAAAUAAGGGGAGUUUGCUCAACUUUUAAAUUCUUACUUGAUCUGAGUUCAGACCGG
This 440-nucleotide ribosomal RNA is filed under the name Carios vespertilionis. RNAcentral describes it as "partial 16S ribosomal RNA". The stretch from base 290 to 440 matches the Rfam family "Bacterial large subunit ribosomal RNA", at positions 2473 to 2619 of the family's 2925-position model. Lineage: Eukaryota; Metazoa; Arthropoda; Arachnida; Ixodida; Argasidae. The record is from RNAcentral.